GACUCAAACCCCAGAACUACGUAGCCAGCGUAGGAUGGAGGCUAUGCCUCUUAAGUCCCAAAAAGAGGACUUUGAUGAAUGGAUCCAAGAUGGUGAUGUCCUUUACCCUGGCAACGUAUUGGAUGGAUGUGGCAACGACAUCGCUUCGUUGUAUCAUCGCUAGCUCAUAAGUGAUGGUUGUCGGUUAGAGAAACUCCCAACUGAAUACAGGUGUUAGAGAUCCUCAACAGGUGCAUCGUUGAAGAUCAUUUCUUUUCAGCUAUUUGGUGAGUCCUUCUUGUAUUCGAAGGAACUCCUUAUCCUUUUAUUAUUGUUGAGUGUGAUGUUUCUUUUGAGGUAGCCAUGGACAUGUCAUUGGCACCAUCUAAGAGUAUUAGAGGCUUCAUAGACAGAGUCUGAUGAUGUAAUCGGAGUAGUUCUCCUUAGAAACUACUUCUUCUAAUAAUUAUCUAUUUUUCCUUU
Molecule: long non-coding RNA, 462 nt
Organism: Solanum dulcamara
Lineage: Eukaryota; Viridiplantae; Streptophyta; Magnoliopsida; Solanales; Solanaceae
Exons: 2
Source: RefSeq, a predicted model, not a curated record